UAUUUGUUUCGCCUUUAUUAAGAGACGUGUUCCGAAUCGAUUAGAUCUUAAAGUUCGAUCCGCCAUACUUAUUAUACCUUUGAAUGCUUCAGGAAACAUGGGGCUCAGAUUUAAAAUGUAUCUGAACCAUUUAGACAGCCAGGAAAGGCCCAUUUUACCCUUGAGGCCUUGACCUCUUCAAAGCAACCACCCUCAUCAUCAGCGCCUCCUCUCCGGUGUGUCACCCUCACAUCGACGCUUCCCCUCCAGCGACUGUGGGUGGGUGUGUGCAAGAGAGAACUCCAAGAACUGAAGAUGUCGUGUAAGACCUCAUAGAUUCAUUUUCCCAAUUAGGUCUAUGAGAGUUCUAAAUUUGAUUGUGACAAUUCGCACUUCAGGUUGCCCCUGCAAAAACAGUUGUGCUAAUUCGCAUCUCUUGUGUCUAAUUUGAACUCGCUUCUUUUUUACUGCCUAAUUAAUGAUAAUUUCAUUUGCAUCACUUGUAUUGUUGUAAUUAUUCAAAAGCAGUUGCUUCUUUCAAAUGCAUUUUGGAUUAGAAAUUUAGCAAAUUAAUACCAACAUUUUUCCAUUCCUACGGCUUGUUAUGAAGUUCACUGUUUCUGUGAGAACUCUGAAGUUCACUCUUAACGUUUUUUUAAUUGGCAAGAAGCAUCUAGCUGUCAGAUACAAUAAACCCAUGCCGAGAUCGUCGACCACAUAUUGUAUUCUUGGAGAUGGUUGUCAAAUGGAAGGGAUUGCAAAUGAAGCAUGUUCAUUUGCAGGCCAUUGGGGUCUUGGAAAAGUUGAUUGCGUUUUAUGAUGAUAACCACAUAUCGAUGAUUAAUUGAAGCUUGAUUUGGUUUCCUUUGGGUUUGAUUUGGAUAUUUGAUCCUUGUUUGUGAAUCCGCUAUAGAAAGAGUAGAUAUUAAACUUGA
Lactuca sativa (garden lettuce) is the source of this 914-nucleotide long non-coding RNA. RefSeq lists it as uncharacterized. The record is from RefSeq and is a predicted model, not a curated record. NCBI's taxonomy places the organism in Eukaryota, Viridiplantae, Streptophyta, Magnoliopsida, Asterales, Asteraceae.